Cricetulus griseus (Chinese hamster) is the source of this 105-nucleotide small nuclear RNA. Lineage: Eukaryota; Metazoa; Chordata; Mammalia; Rodentia; Cricetidae. The record is from Ensembl.
UGGUGCUCUCUUCAGCACUCCUAUAGUAAAAUUGAAACAAUAUAGAGAUUAGCAUGGCCCCUGAACAAGGAUGACACACAAAUUAAUGAAGCAUUCCAUAUUUUU